AGUGCCAAAAAUGAUGAUUCUUCUCUUUACCAUUCAUGAAUGUCCUCAAAGGACGCAGACAUGAAGAGGGAACUUUUUUGAACAUUCCUGCCAUGCAAUGACCAGGUAACCUGGCCCCAUCUCAAGCAGAGACCUGCCUGUAUUCCUGAGACCUUGAUGAUGCUGUGCUAAGCUGUGUGUGUCUGGUACAGAACCUCUGGUGCUCAGAGACUGUGUGCUUAUUUUGCAGCCACUUGGCUACCAUGCAGGAGCUACAGGAGAUGCAUUGGAGAAUUACCAUUAUUUUCAUUUCAUAUUUGGAGAAUCACAAAUUAUUUUCAUUUCAUUUUCCUGUCUGCAGUCACAGGGUAAAAGAGAAGUCACCUUGAAGAUCACCUUUUAAGAAUUCUUUGGCUGUUCCUGACCAGAUGAUGUGUGAGAAGUAAUACUGUUUUCUGUGAAAACAGCUCUGUAAAGAAGAGAGCACAGGGAACAGAAGAGUUGGGAAGAAAAGAGAAGAUACAAGUUCCUGUGCUGAAAGACCUAAUUAUGCUGGACCAAGCACAAAAUCUAUUAUGGGGUUAUUAAUUGCUUGCACCAUUUAUGUACUCACACAUUACACCUGCUCUUUCCUGUGGGAGUCAAACACCAGUAAUGUUUUCCAUCCCGAACUGGAUGUGAUGCCAAACUACCAGGAAUUUGCAAGGAGCAAGACUGAGCUGUGUUAAGCCAAUGACUUAAAAAGAAAAAAGCCACACAGGAAAACCAGAUUAUGAGAUUUGCCACCAUUCGAUUUAAAAGUCAUCCUUUCCUGUUGUUCCUUGAGCACUGGGCUUUCCAAGUUCACCAUUCUUUCCUGGGACAAGUGACUCAUGAACCUGAUAGGAAAAUGCACCUGUUUUUAGCCAGAGGUUAAAGCAGCUCUCCAGUUACCAGAGUAAACAAAGGAUUUAUUUCUGUCCUUAGCAAAGCCCAGGAAUACAGGAAGGGUGGCAGAAGCCACUAGGUUUGAGCCAAGUUUGCUGAAGUCAGUGGAAGGUUUGUGAUGUCCAUAGUAAGAUGCUCCUAGAUGCCAGUGGGAUUUGGCCCAUGUCUUUUGCUAGAGGGGAAAUGGAAAAAUAAAGAGUUGGUGCAGUGAUGGUGCUGGCAGCCAAGGACUCCAGGGAGCUGGAAGGUGUCUGCCACGGUGUGGGAUACACAUUCCCUUCUCUGGCCCCAAGAGUCCAUCUGCAUCUGUAGUCCUGGCAAAAAAGCAGCUGUCAGUCACAGAGGUGGGAUGGGUAUCAACACAUUAGAGACUGAGACUGAUCAGACACUGCAGUAAUGGCAACCAUGCAAGUGGCUAAAAUAUUUGGAAAUCAGUGUUGGAUGUAUUGGCAUCAUGGAAGCUGAAAGGUUUUAUGAGCCAGGAGUCACUUCUUAAUCCCAGCAUGAGAAAUGGGAUGUGUUUGUUCUCCACUAUGGAGAUCAUUGAAAAAUGCAAACACAACAUUAGCUUGUUUCAGGUCAGCACUCAACACAGUAUAAAAACAAGAUGGAUUUUAGCCUUUAUUUAACUGGAUUUAAUUAUAUGCAUGAGCCUCAAAGUGCCUAAGGCCUAACGGAUGGUGACCUAAGGUCUGAUUAAAAAGGCAACAACACCCUAAGCCUUAAGCUUGUUUGUUAGGCCAUAUGCAUGACUGGACCAUGCAAUGUUUCAGGCAGACAUGCUAGGAAUAAAGAACCCAGGGCAUCCAAAGCAUUUGCCAAAUUUCUACCUUUACUCAGAAGAAUCUGAACACUGAUUUUUCCUGCCCUCUGUACCAGCAUGGCUCAGGAGCUUGGCUAGGAUGGAAAGGUGACAGUGUUUCCAACCACACCUUCCUGAAAAGUCUGCAGUGCCCUGGGAGAGCAUGUUGACACUUGGAAAAGAAAUUGGCCACUUGACUUCUCAGUUUGGGAGAUCCGUGUGGCUGGAAAAUUCCAAAUAACCAAAUAUCAGGAAAAGAGGCAAUCACCAAAGGCUCAUCUUAAUUUAUUUUUUAUUUAUUAUUAGCAUGACAGAUAUUGUGACAGUCAUCUAUUUGUAUUUCUGUGAUUGAUUUCAGAAAUUGAUUUCAGAGAAUCCUGUUCUUGGGUCUGGAUAAAGUACAAAAUCUCUCUUUUUCCUUUGGAUAGCACAACACAGCUUUGUGUCAUCUCUGUAAAGGACACCAGCCCUUAGCAGCCUCCAGGAAUCACCUCAGUGGGCUGACUGAUGUCCACCUGCUUGGUCUCUGAACACAGCUCAGAAAUGUCACAUCCACAUCCUCCUUGCUGCUGAGUGCCACCAAGACACAGCGUGGCAAGGACACCUGAUGGGUUGUGCUGGCUCUGUGCCGAGCAGGGUGAGAUUUGCUGCCUGUUGUGUGCAGCACUGCACCCAUCUAUGGCUGGGGCAUGGUCCUGGGGUGCCUCCAGUGCCUGACCAUUGUCUGGCAAGGAGACCCAGCCCAAGGUCCAUUGAUGUUGUUUGCUGGGCUGAGAUUCCAGCUGGUGGUUUUGCUGAAGGGUCUGCCCUCAGUGCCUCAGCCAUGGGAUCAGAGAAGGAGCAGCACAAACACAAGGACUGGGGCAGGACAUCCUGAUCAAGUCACAGUGGCCUCAGCCUGGUCCUGUUGAAGGUGUCAUGAAACUGCCCUAUAAGUCUGAUCCUCAUUAAAGAGUAAUUCAGCAUUCCAGAGUGAGCAGCUAAACAACAAAUUUAAUUUGAUUUUCUACUGUGUCCUCUCUCUCAUGUGCUCUUAUUCAUUCAUGGACCCCAUUAACUCUCUGUCAGCCUCCUGCUUCUGCUGUGGGUAAAAGUGUCCCGUCAUUCCAUUUUAUGCUUUUAGUGAGUUGCUUUUCAUUUUCUUGUACUUUAUUGUUGUUUCACAUCCACUUUGUCAAACUGUGUUCUUUUGCAUCUUCCUUAACUCCCUGUCUUAAAGAGAAAUUAUUUUUAUAUCUCAGAAGUGUCACAUGGUUUAAUCAUGUUGGUUUAUUUUUUCUUUCUGCUUUGAAUAUUUUUUAUUUGAUGAGGAGUCU
This is a long non-coding RNA of Zonotrichia leucophrys gambelii, 3024 nucleotides long. RefSeq lists it as uncharacterized. The record is from RefSeq and is a predicted model, not a curated record. The transcript has 3 exons. Lineage: Eukaryota; Metazoa; Chordata; Aves; Passeriformes; Passerellidae.